RNAcentral lists this long non-coding RNA (1119 nucleotides) under Homo sapiens (human). Its description in RNAcentral is "HSALNT0125580". Lineage: Eukaryota; Metazoa; Chordata; Mammalia; Primates; Hominidae. The record is from RNAcentral.
GCGGGGAGCUAGGGAGUUUAUUUGAUCACCACGUCCAGAGGGCGGUAUGCGACACACGGGCCAAAUAUCGAGAGGGACGACGGCCUCGUGCUGUGAAGGUAUAUACAAUCAAUUUGGAAUCUCAGUACUUAUUAAUACAAGGAGUUCCUGCUGUGGGAGUCAUGAAGGAAUUAGUUGAGCGAUUCGCUUUAUAUGGUGCAAUUGAACAGUACAAUGCUCUAGAUGAAUACCCAGCAGAAGACUUUACUGAAGUUUAUCUUAUUAAAUUUAUGAACUUACAAAGUGCAAGGACAGCCAAGAGAAAAAUGGAUGAACAGAGUUUCUUCGGUGGAUUGCUUCAUGUGUGCUAUGCUCCAGAAUUUGAAACAGUUGAAGAAACUAGAAAAAAACUACAAAUGCGGAAGGCAUAUGUAGUAAAAACUACUGAAAAUAAAGGUAAUUUCAUCUGUGCCAAAGCCUCCAGAGGACAAGCCAGAAGAUGUACAUACAAGUCAUCCAUUAAAACAAAGAAGAAGAAUAUAGAGUGCCAGCAGCAACUUAGUAUUUUCUAAAAAGAACAUUUAUUAUUUAUUUUUAGCCUGUCAUUUUAAUUCUUCAAGAGAUUUUACUGCUGGUAUUUUUUAAUGCACUCCUCUUUGUAAUUUCAUUCAAGCCAUUUGUCUAAAGUCAUUUCUUUGUUUUUUGGGAGAUGGAGUCUUGCUCUGUUGCCCAGGCUGGAAUGCAGUGGCGUGAUCUCGGCUCACUGCAACCUCCACCUCCCGGGUUCAAGCGAUUCUCCUGCCUCAGCCUCCUGAGUAUCUGGGAUUACAGGCGUGCACCACCAUGCCUGGCUAAGUUUUGUGUUUUUUUUAGUAGAGAUGGGUUUUCACCAUAUUGGUCAGGCUGGUCUCGAACUCCUGACCUUGUGAUACACCUGCCUCAGCCUCCCAAAGGGAUGAGCCACCGCGCCUGGCCCAUUUCUUCUUUUUUUGACCCAUACUUAAUGUUGCAGAAACUAUUCUUGUCAUAACAUUAUCUCUCAUGUACAGUAAUUAUAUGUAAAUUAAUUGAAGCAAAUAUGGAAACUUUACAAUAGAAAUAAAGAUAGGCAGCCAGCGUCUGUUUCCAAUUAUAAUACAA